Long non-coding RNA from Mya arenaria, 1797 nucleotides. RefSeq lists it as uncharacterized. The record is from RefSeq and is a predicted model, not a curated record. Lineage: Eukaryota; Metazoa; Mollusca; Bivalvia; Myida; Myidae. The transcript is spliced from 4 exons.
UUAUGCGGAAAUGAAAUUGAAUGUUACUUCGAACACGUUCUUCUACAAAAUAACUGACCUGUAUUUAGUGCUAUUGCUUAAACAUCAAUCGAAGCAAAAAUGGCAUCAAUGUAUGCGUCUAAAAAUGUUAAAUUUAGAUGGAGACAAUCCAGAAAUGAGCUGCCAGGAAGUGAUCGAUUUCGGACACGAAGAUUGAGAAGUGCCUGGAUACAAGGCUAGUAUUGUUAACAUCAUCUGAUACAAUCAACUGGAACAAAGCUGAAAUGGCUGCCUGACCUGACUUAAAAAUUGGAUGGCAGUACAUCAGACUAGAAGAUUACAAGUAUUGAGGUGGACAAAAUGAAACCUGAGCCUACCAAAGCUGACAGAUUGCACAAGAAACACAUAAAUGCAGAUUGGAAGAUUCAUUCUCUGGAAAGUAGAAAAGGGCAUGUUACAUACUGUUAUCACUGCCAUGACAGAAACCAUAUUGAGGAGCUGGUCCACCUGUAGGAAGAAUUGCGCUAUUGGUUGGAGCAGCACUAUUACCCAGCCAUACACCAGCACUAAGUUUGUCAUAGGGAGCAUUUCUGAGCAGUUAUGGAGACCACUAACUAUGCAGAUUGCUUGACACUUCAUUUUGGACAGACCUCAUCCAUUAAUCCAUUAUCAUGUAGUACAGUGUGAUGACUAUCAUCAGACAUGUCUCAUUCCAUCAUCCUCAUUUGGACAGAUCCCAUGGACACAGACUUAGAUACUUCAUCAGUGUGUCUACAUAAUUGUACAACAAACUCUUAGGAUUACAAUAAAAAUAGUUACAGAACAUUAUAAUAAUAAAUUUGGUAUUUAUAAUGAACAUCCAAAAGAAGUUUCCUGUUAAUAAAGUCUAAUGCAUUGCAUCAUUUUUGUUUAUUGGCUUUGUUUGAGUAACAUUUUUAGAAACCUACUCACAAUGUUCCUGGGCAAUCUCAGUCAUCCUGAGUUGUUUACCAGUUCUAUAAAGUUCCCAUACUCCUAUCAGUAACUGAGAACGCAAUUUUCUCAAAAUGUUCAUCUAUUUCAGGGUCAAUUGCGACAUUUUCAGUUAAAGCGGAAAAGACAUCAAACCAGGACUCGUUUGUGCUGAAUUUUCUAAUGGAGUUUCGAGCAUGGAAUAUGGUUUCAGGCCCCUUUUUCUCGAUAACUGUAACCGCAAAGGUUACACGCUCGUUCGUCGGCCAUUUUGUCGAUAAAAACAAAAGUCAACCGCAUGACGUAAUAUAAAUGAGCCGAAGGAAAAUAAUGAGCGGAAAGAAAAUAUAAUGAGCGGAAAGAUUAUUUUCCGUACGCUCGGAGAUGCGAAAAAUAAAAAUUCGUCCUGGAGGGCCUAAAAAAAAAGUUGAGUCGCGGUAAUUUCGUGAGUCGGUCGCGUUACAGCAAACAUUCAAUUUUUUAAGGAUGGCCUAGUGUCCAGCAAUGAAGACCCAACUCAAGAUCUGACCUUGUAAGGCCAAUAUGAAAUAUCUGUGUGGGAAAAUGGGAAAAACCUGCAGUCAGGAAUGCACGGAAAUCAUCAAAAGAACAGUGUUAAAUUAAUCUUGAAUAACUUGACAUUUAUUUUGUUUGACAUAUUUAUUCAUGGUGCAGUGAAAACAUUCUUUUUUUCUCAUGGUUAUUUAAAUUUAGAAUUGAUAGGAGGGAACAUCACUAUGUAGUUUCAUGUUCAUAGUCAGAUCAAAACCCAUGUACAUGCCCAAAUGAGCAUUCGAAAAUAUCAAAAUGGUACUUGUUGUAUGUAGUGUAAGUUAAUUAACAUAAUAAACAAAAAUAUUUAAUCAA